GCUGUUUGCUUACAAUCCGACCCUGCUUCGUGUACAAAUGCAAUGCCAUUUCGGCAGGGCUAUAGGCUACGAAACCUUUCGAACUCGAAAAGGCGCUACUAAUUUUGAAUAGGUACUUAAUAUUGGGUAAAAGUAAUAGAUAAGAUUGUUUUACAUUAAAUAUUUGACAGAUCGAUGUAACUCGUCAAGCGGAAUCCGAGAAGAAAAAUGACGGAUGUGCUGUUUGCUGAUAGUCCAGAACGGCUUCGUGUACAAAUGCAUGGCGGGGAGACCAGAAAGUUUUCGAAACUGCGUGAGUGGAAGUCUGCGUUGGACAAAUUUUGAAAAUAUCUGAAGGUUUAACGAAUUUUGGAGAAUUCGACAGAGCUACAGACUACGAAACCUUUCGAAACGAACACACGUGUCCUGUUGAACUUGAAAAAAGACGAAAUUAUUUUUAAAAAGAUCAUGGUAACUCGUGAAGCAACAUCUCAGAAUUGAAUCGGGGAACGAGGAAUCAAAAAAAGGUUAACAAUUUGGAUCAUUUUGGAAGAUACAUACGCCGCGCUUUUCAAAGCGGACAGACGUGCCCUUGUCCAACUGAAACGAACACACGUGUCCUGUUGAACUUGAAAAAAGACGAAAUUAUUUUAAAAAGAUCAUGGUAACUCGUGAAGCAACAUCUCAGAAUUGAAUCGGGGAGUUGUGUAUUUGCUGGCAAUCCGGGCCUGCUUGGAUCAUUUUGGAAGAUACAUACGCCUGCGCUUUUCAAAGCGGACAGACGUGCCCGUGUCCCACUUGACAAAGGCGGAAUUAUUUUAGGAAAGACCAUGGCAACUAGUAAAGCAGAAUCCGAGAAUUCAAUCGGCGGCUGUAUGUUGACUGACAAGAAUAUAAUUGCUGUUAAUCCGGCCCUGCUUCUUGUACAAAUGCAUAGUGGGGAGACAUGAACAUUUUUCGAAAUUGCGGCCCUAUCCUCUUGGGAUUCUACGUUGGACAAAUUCUGAAAACGACCCAGAAAUAUAAUUGGAGGUUCAAACCCGUGCGAGGUGAGGUUUGAUAUAUGAAACAGACCAGUCAUGGGGACACGAGAUAUGGAAAGUUUCAGCGUAGUCGUCGCCACAUUGCUGCCAACACUGCAUAUAUAAGGAAUCACGAACCAUUCAGGUAAAAUUUUGAAAACACAUAGUUAUGGCAAUAUAGAACCUCUCUUUUUUUAACAGGAAUAUUGAGACUUAGACCAGUAUCUUUUAAGUAGGCAUGUGGGGUAAAGAAGACGCAGAAGCUUCAGUCGGGUACCAUCGGUAACGUAGGCGAUUGAUAUAUUUCCACCACUACCUAUGUUGGAUUGGAAUUUCCCAUUUGAUGCUUUGACUGACUAAAUGAGGAAACUUGGAGAUAUUAUUGGUGGUGCCUGCCAGCUUCCAGUUCCGAGAAAAGAAAUCCAACACUUUUCGUCUUUAUUUCCCCUGUCCUUUGUGCGCAAUAAAAGUACAGUUU
Molecule: long non-coding RNA, 1479 nt
Organism: Cylas formicarius (sweet potato weevil)
Lineage: Eukaryota; Metazoa; Arthropoda; Insecta; Coleoptera; Brentidae
Exons: 6
Source: RefSeq, a predicted model, not a curated record